Molecule: ribosomal RNA, 192 nt
Filed under: Triticum aestivum (bread wheat)
Lineage: Eukaryota; Viridiplantae; Streptophyta; Magnoliopsida; Poales; Poaceae
Description: partial small subunit ribosomal RNA
Source: RNAcentral
GCUGCUUUCACGUGGAUUCAAGCAAACUUUGCGCAUUGCCCUGCGGAUGCCACUGAUGAUGUGAUACAGACACAUGCUCGUGUCUAUAUGUGGUACGUUGUCUUGAGGACUUUGUUUCCUGACUCCACAGGCAAGAACGCUCCAUGGAUGUGGCUUAAGGCGUUGACCGUCUUUGAUAGCGGAUGGAGCUAG